UACGGAGGGUGCAAGCGUUAUCCGGAAUCACUGGGUUUAAAGGGUGCGUAGGCGGCAUUAUAAGUCAGAGGUGAAAGCUUACAGCUUAACUGUGAAAUUGCCUUUGAAACUGUAAUACUUGAAUCACGUUGAGGUCAGCGGAAUGUGGCAUGUAGCGGUGAAAUGCUUAGAUAUGCCAUAGAACACCAAUUGCGAAGGCAGCUGGCUAGGCGUGUAUUGACGCUGAGGCACGAAAGCGUGGGGAGCGAACAGG
This 253-nucleotide ribosomal RNA is filed under the name uncultured bacterium. RNAcentral's name for it is "partial 16S ribosomal RNA". It matches the Rfam family "Bacterial small subunit ribosomal RNA", at positions 524 to 776 of the family's 1533-position model. The record is from RNAcentral.